CGUGACCGGUCGAGUGAUUUCGCGGAUGCCAUAUUGAAAAUUUUCGAUAUAUCGAUAAUCUCGUUGCAGGAUAUCGUUAAUGGAUGCGAGUGAUCAAAAUUCUUUCUACUUUUUUUCCCUUCUUAUUUAAAGUUAUUAUUAAAAUGUAAAAAGUAUUAUUUCUAGAAAGAAUCAUUAGAAAUAAUUGUAACCUAAAGUUUUAUCUGCUUGAUAUAUUAUCGAAUGCAUCGACAAGUGUAAAAGUUAAGUGUUAAAAUGUAAAAAGUAUUAUUUCUAGAAAGAAUCGUUAGAAAGAAUUCUAACCUAAAGUUUUAUCUGCUUGAUAUUUUAACGAUAUUAUCGAUACAUCGAAUGCAUCGACAAAUGUAAAAGUUAAGUGUAAAAAGUAUUAUUUCUAGAAAGAAUCGUUAGAAAGAACUCUAACCUAAAGUUUUAUCUGCUUGAUAUUUUAACGAUAUUAUCGAUACAUCGAAUGCAUCGACAACGUACCAAUAGUUCGAUAUAUACGUGUACAUCAUUAGCUCGACGAUUCUAACUUCUAUUUUCAAUAAUUCUUUCUCAAUUUUAAAUUUUGAUUUAAAAACAAGUACAAAACCAGUGCCAGUGUUACGAUUACAAGUGUUACGAUUCGACAAGAGGUUAUAUAUACGUAUAUAAAAUUUAAAUCCAACGUAAAUGCAUCGAAUGCAUCGACAACGUACCAAUAGUUCGAUAUAUAUACGUGUACAUCAUUAAUGGUAGCUCGACGAUUCCAACUUCCAUUUUCAAUAAUUCUUUCUCAAUUUUAACAUUUGAUUUAAAAACAAAACCAGUGCCAGUGUUACGAUUACAAGUGUUACGAUUCGACAGGAGGUUAUAUAUACGUAUAUAAAAUUUAAAUCCAACGUAAAUGAGUCAACAUAACCUAUUACCACGCUCGUCCACGAGAAGACUACGAAACGAAUAAAAACCUGAAUAUUGGACCCCCGUGACCAGCUCCUUGACGUCCGCGUCGGACGUUCUCCUAAGCAGAUUGAUCAACGCGGGGACACCGCCCGCGUUCUUGAUGGCCCUCUUGUUCUCGUCGUUCUGCCUCCCGUACGACAAGUUCCUCAACGCGCCGCACGCGUUCCUGUACACGUCCGGAUUGUCGUGGUCGAGCAACUGAACCAGGGGCGGUAUACCGCCCAGGCUACGCGUCUUCUGCUUGUUCGGGUCGUCCAUGUAGCACAGGUGUUGCAGAUUCGGGUCCCGCCAUCUCAUCGACUUCUGGUCGUCGUCCAACGGGCUCGCCAUCCCGGCCACGACAGGGUGGCGCGACUGCAGCCGUUGCAGGUGGACCUCGUCGUCGAACAUGCCGGCCGGCACGCCCGCGGGCAGCGGGACCGGGUGGCCCUCGUCGUAGCCGGGCACGUCGCUGGGAACCUGGACCGGACCCACGCCGACGCCAGGGCCGUAUCCGACCGGCCCGUACGGGGACGGGGACACGUAACCGUUAGGUGCCCCUCCUUUUGAGUAGCAGUCGACACGCAUAAUUCACUCGCAUUAUCUUGCGGCAAUGACAAGGUGUUUUUGGGACGAGUGAUUAAAUGUCGAGAAGAGAGAUAGAUAGAGAGAGAGAAUGUUAAAUAAAUUAUUGAUGUGACCCUACCAUGAGGAUGCUGAGAGGGUUCGCCGGAGUCAUCCAUAUUCCAAGAGUUGCUGAUUUGAUCUAGAGAGGACACAAAAUAACAAACGAAUGUCAGGUAUAGAGAUAAUUAAAGUGAAUUAUGCUCGCUCCUUCUGUGCGCAUAUGGACAAAAAUUUCAACCCUCCUGCAAUAUGAUGAUGAUAGUUGAAUAUCUCGUUAUGGAGCUGUCUAGGUGAAAAUCUGAAUUUCUUUGGGCAACGACGAGAAACAGGGAGAGGAGGGCCACCAGGACUAGGAGUAAUACGAUAAUGAUCUUGCAACGCGGGAUUCAAACCUGGAUCGAUGUCGUUGUAACCUCCUUCCACGUACGGCGCCGCCUUGCGCAGAGAUAAUAAUUUUUCCAACAAAAAAAAGAAAAAGUCUUACCAUGCGGAGGCGAGGCACGACUGUGCUCCGAAGGACUGUGGGGGCUGUGAGGGGAGUGCGAGCGUGGCAUGUAGAUUCCAUGAGGGCCUGGAUACCCUGGUUGGGGCGGAUAGCCGAGGUAGGGCUCGUAAUGCUCGAAACCGACCAUGUAGGAGUCGGCCGGGUACCGUCGGUCGGCGUGCUGGUAGUCCUGGGACAUCAACGGCACCGACAUGUAGCUCACCGCGCCCGGAUCCGGCUCCAUGUGUGACACCUCGCGCACCACCUUCGAGACGUUUGUUACCUGAAAUUAUCACCAGGUUGAAUGGAAGAGAAUGGAAAGUUGAGUAAUACCGGGCGAUAGUUUUCUAGUUCUUCUUAAGAUUCUGAGAAAUAAUUUGUGGAAAUUACUGAUGAACAAUCGUUAAGAGUGAAAAGGAAAUGGCGGGGCCGGGUAAAUUAGAGCGUAGGUAAAACUGGAAACGGAUCUCACUUGUUGAGUAGUUUGCUGCUUAUGGCUCCGGAUGAGUAAUGGAUCCUCCUGGACAGAUAAAUGAGACGAAUGCAACGAAUGGGUAUCCGCCUGGCCGUUACUUCCGUGGUAAUCUGCAUCACUCUGUCCGCUGCAAAAUGAUCAAUUAGAGAUACCGCCAACAAUCGCCGAUUUAUUCGCUUGAGAUUCGUUAGCUUACGUGUAUUGCGGCAUGUCGGGGCCCUUCUCCUGGAGAACGCGUCUGGAAAAAAGAAAAUACGCAUGGAACGAAUCACUACUUGGUCUUGGAUUUGUUAUUCGCGUGGAAACGAGCCAUCAAAACGAAUAUUAAACAGCUAAAAUAAUUUUGGAAAAAGAAAAAAAAAAAAUUGGUAUAUGUAUCGGUACGUGCAAUUGGUAGACGAGAUAAAAAAGAAAUAAAUGAAUAAAUAAAUAAAGCGCACACCGAGCUGAAACGGUAAUAAACAAAGUAAUGAAAAAGGAACCAAGAACAAAGCGAAGCAUUCAGAUACGAAUCUAACUACGUUAAACUACCUCGUAUCCUCGUCACACAUCACUCUCAACCAUGCUAAAUAAUAAACGCGAAACGAAUGUUAGUGCGGCCGAAGUUACUCAUUCUGACGACUCUUUUCGAUGAUCCAUCUUUGAAAAUUCCUCGCGAGAUCUCGAUGGACGGAAUAUCUGUAUCCAACAGUAUCCAACAGUAUCCAAAUAUUUUUUAUUUAAACUGAUACAGAAAAAUCCUUUAAAAAAAUCGUGAAGGAUUAAAAUCAUUUAAGAGUUACAUGAAAAUAACGAAGAAAAUAUAUAUUUGGUAUAUUUUGUUCCAUCGAGAAUCUCGACGAAUUUCGAAUUUUCGAUUCGAAGCUUCGCUUUUUCCAAAGGAAAAAUAAUUCAUACAAUGUCGAUCCAACGAUGAAUAAUAAUGGAAUCUGUUAAUCGCGCUCGCGCGCUCAGAAUGACUAACCUCGUCUAUUAGGUCAUGUUAGUCACCUCUGCGUGAUCUCAGUGUGCGUUAUGCUGUGCUCCUGUCUCUCGACGAUUCGACGAUUCACCAGCCUGGCAUUAAUAAUUUCGCUCUGAUUAAUAUACGUGGGUGCCGGGGACUACGUGCAUCCUAAGGUGCCAUCUAUUUUCUAACAUAUCUUCCAUUACCGAGAAAACGAGCUUCGCCAAUUGGUCGACGUUGCGUUUUUUGCAAUAGCCGUGUAAAGUAGAGAGAGAGAGAGAAAGAGAAAGAGAGAAAGAGAGGGAGAAGCGGAGUUCGCCGAUGUUUCCCCUCCCUCGUUGGAGAAGGAAGGAAAAAGAGUAAUAGAGCGAAAGACAGAAAGAGAACGUAUUAAUCGUUUACGAGACUCUCCUCGACGGAGAGAAACUCGAGUAGAGAAA
Apis mellifera (honey bee) is the source of this 3896-nucleotide long non-coding RNA. RefSeq lists it as uncharacterized. NCBI's taxonomy places the organism in Eukaryota, Metazoa, Arthropoda, Insecta, Hymenoptera, Apidae. The transcript is spliced from 8 exons. The record is from RefSeq and is a predicted model, not a curated record.